UCACUGCGGAAGCACCCAGCUCAGUAGGUCGGUGCCUUGAGUGGAAGCUGAUAGAAACAUCUGCAAACUCCAAACUACAGUGCUUUCUUCAGUCCUCAAGGCUGGAAAAUUCAGUUACCCGACUGGCCCAUUUUCUGCGGAUUUUAAUCAAGUUGGAACUCAACAGAAGCCUGGAGUAUUAAAAGGAUGGUUGCCAUUUUAAAGGUCCUGAUCCUCAAGAAACACCAGCUCUGGGCUCCUGAUGAGGUGAAACACAUGAGCUGAUGGAGACAGAGAAAGCAGCAGGCCUGCUCAGCUGGAGUUGGAAGAAAAUUUCUGCUUUCAAUGCCUACAGAACCCUGCAGAACUGACAACUGGGUCUCACAAAAUAAUUCACAGAACCUUAAUUUUCAAUGUAAUUUUUUAAGGAGCAAAUAGAGAUCAACUGGCAAAUGGUUAGUACAGUCUCUUCAGACAGAAUUCUUUUGGGGGUUGCAAUUAACAGAAGUAAAGAAAAUAAAUGGAGAGAGAUUGUCAAAGGUUAAUAACUUUAGACAUGCCUUAUUAGGAUUUUACAAUGAUCUUGUCAUUGGGAUUUAUGAUUUGUCCUCCCCCUGCAUUAACUAGUACAGAAAAGAAAAGGGAAUACAGAAUCAACUGAUUAUUUCAAGCUGACCUCUGUCAGAGUUUUUAUUCAAAAGAAAGAUGCUCCCAUUCUUUACCAAGAGUCCACAUUCCCAGAACUGCUAGAGGAAGUUCACUGUGAGAAAUAUCAGCAGGGGAACAUUCUACAAUGAUUCUCCCGCUGUACACAAAUUUUCUUCUCUAUUUAUUUGUUCAUUUUUUAAUUUUAAGUAUUCUAGGACACACUGUGACAUUAAAAUAUACACGACUGACCAACCAAGGGUCAUUUGCAUGGAUUUUACUCCAUGGAACAUAUUUCAAUUGCUUCUAAAUAUCACUGUCCUAUG
Non-coding RNA from Myodes glareolus (Bank vole), 950 nucleotides. The record is from RefSeq and is a predicted model, not a curated record. Lineage: Eukaryota; Metazoa; Chordata; Mammalia; Rodentia; Cricetidae.